GCCAGACUCCUACGGGAGGCAGCAGUGGGGAAUAUUGCACAAUGGGGGAAACCCUGAUGCAGCGACGCCGCGUGAGCGAAGAAGUAUCUCGGUAUGUAAAGCUCUAUCAGCAGGGAAGAAAAUGACGGUACCUGACUAAGAAGCCCCGGCUAACUACGUGCCAGCAGCCGCGGUAAUACGUAGGGGGCAAGCGUUAUCCGGAUUUACUGGGUGUAAAGGGAGCGCAGGCGGCGCGGUAAGUCUGAUGUGAAAGCCCGGGGCUCAACCCCGGGACUGCAUUUGGAACUGUGUGGCUGGAGUGUCGGAGAGGCAGGCGGAAUUCCUUGUGUAGCGGUGAAAUGCGUAGAUAUAAGGAAGAACACCAGUGGCGAAGGCGGAUUACUGGACGAUAACUGACGGUGAGGCGCGAAAGCGUGGGGAGCAAACAGGAUUAGAUACCCGUGUA
RNAcentral lists this ribosomal RNA (445 nucleotides) under uncultured bacterium. RNAcentral's name for it is "bacterial SSU rRNA". It matches the Rfam family "Bacterial small subunit ribosomal RNA", at positions 330 to 792 of the family's 1533-position model. The record is from RNAcentral.